AUGGGGGCGAUUGGGGGCGACGAGAUGGCGCAGUGGGAUAAUGCGGACGGAGGCGAGGUGGCCAAUGGCGCCGCCGGGAAGCUGGAGAAGAUACUGGUUUCGGUGAGGCUCAGGCCGCUCAGCGACAAGGAGGUUGCGCGCGGGGAUCCGUCCGAGUGGGAGUGCAUCAGCGACACCACCGUCAUCGCCCGGAGCGCCUUCCCCGACCGGCCAACGGCUCCGACUGCCUACUCCUUUGACAGGGUAUUCCGUUCUGACUGCGAUACCAAAGAAGUGUACGAGCAAGGGGCCAAGGAGGUUGCCCUCUCUGUAGUUAGUGGCAUCAACUCUAGUAUCUUUGCAUAUGGUCAAACAAGUAGUGGGAAGACAUACACCAUGACCGGAAUAACGGAAUGUACAGUAUCAGAUAUUUAUGAUUACAUUGGCCGGCACGAGGAGAGAGCAUUCGUGUUGAAAUUCUCAGCGAUCGAAAUAUAUAACGAAGUUGUAAGGGAUCUUCUUAGUUCAGAAAACACUUCUCUUAGACUUUGGGAUGACGCAGAGAAGGGGACUUAUGUAGAGAACCUUAAAGAGGUGAUAUUGAGGGACUGGAACCAUCUCAAGGAACUUAUUUCUGUGUGUGAAGCUCAAAGGAGAACCGGAGAGACAUACUUAAACGAAAACAGCUCCAGAUCGCAUCAAAUCCUUAAAUUGACUAUCGAAAGUUCUGCUCGUGAAUUCUUGGGUAAGGACAAGUCAACGACACUUGCGGCUAGUGUGAACUUUGUUGAUUUGGCAGGAAGUGAACGUGCAUCUCAGGCACUGUCAGCUGGUGCUAGGCUGAAGGAAGGUUGUCAUAUUAAUAGAAGUUUACUUACCCUGGGAACUGUCAUUCGUAAACUAAGCAAGGUAAGAAAUGGACACAUACCAUAUCGGGAUUCAAAGCUCACACGCAUAUUACAACCUUCUCUUGGAGGUAAUGCAAGGACUGCAAUCAUUUGCACAAUGAGCCCAGCCCGAAGCUACAUGGAGCAAUCAAGAAAUACCCUGCUAUUUGCAAGUUGUGCAAAGGAAGUAGUUACAAAUGCACAGGUUAAUGUAGUCAUGUCUGAUAAAGCCCUAGUUAAGCAUUUACAAAGGGAACUUGCUAGGUUGGAGAGUGAACUGCGAUGUCCAGCUACCUAUUCCAGUCUAGAAUCAUUGGUGAGGGAAAAAGAUAACCACAUCCGGAAGAUGGAGAAAGAAAUUAAGGAAUUGAAGGCACAGCGUGAUCUGGCUCAAUCUAGGCUGCAGGAUCUGCUCCAGGUUGUUGGAGAUAACCAUGUUUCAAAGCACCCCCUGGCUUCUGGAAGGAACUUUACCUUCGAUGUGCCCCAGCCAUGUGAAGAUCAGAUAUCAACAACCGAAUCAUCAGAAGUAGUUGACAAUGUCCAAAAUUUCAGGUUCCAAGGACGCCAUGCAGCACAGAGGGAAGUUGGGUCUCAACAGUCUGAAAAUAAUGUGCAGUUUGCUACCCCAUUGAGUUAUUCAGUCAGCAGUCCUCCAUUCAGUGGGAUGCCCCCAACCACUAGCAGAGAUGACGUUUCUCAGAUAUCAAAUGAGGAUUCAGAUGAUGUUUGCAAAGAAGUACGGUGCAUAGAGACCAAUGAAACAGAAGGAAAAAAUGGUCUGGACUCGUCAGCUAUCGGGAGCAAUAUCUUGCAAGAUUCGAAUGUGGGUGCUAGUACACAUGGAAACGAUGAUGUAUCUACUGUUACCCUGGAGCAACAUCUAGAGACUGUCAGAAAACCUUUUGCCAAUCUUGUCGAAGAUCUAGGGUCUUCAACACGAAACCCAUCUAGCUCUAGAGGAAUUGUGAGAAGCAGGAGCUGUAGGUCUCUGAUGGGCUCUACUCUGUUUGAAGACCUGGAGAAGGAUGACUGCACACCACCGAGCAGAAGAUUCAUGGACUUCCCCGGGAGACCUGAAGGGGGUCAAAGAAGGGGUUCUGCGCUGAACUUUGAUGCAGAGAGUGAAACUUUGUCACGGGCAGGGUCAAUGCUUUCUGAAAUUACUACUACGAGGGGUGGACCCAAGGCAAAUGGUUCUGUGGCAGGUGACACAGAAUUUACCGGCAUAGGUGAAUUUGUUGCUGAACUGAAAGAAAUGGCUCAGUAUCAGAAGCAACUCGGUGGUCAGUAUGUUAACGGAGAAAUAGCAGAAGGAACCGUCAGGAGCGUUGGAUUAGAUCCAAUCAUGGAUGCCUUGCAAUCACCUUCGCGAUGGCCACUGGAAUUUGAGAGAAAACAGCAAGAGAUCAUUGACCUUUGGCAUGCAUGCUAUGCUUCAUUGGUUCACAGAACCUACUUUUUCUUGUUGUUUAAAGGAGAUCCAGCCGACUCCAUUUACAUGGAAGUGGAGAUAAGGAGGCUAUCUUUCCUUAAAGAUACCUAUGCCAAUGGUGGUAUGGAAAGCAAAGUCGUGGCUGGUAGCCUGAACACUUCUCUGGUUUCAAGUGCCAGGAAGUUGCAACGUGAGAGGGAGAUGCUCUGCAGGCAAAUGCAGAAGCGGCUCUCGAUUGAGGAAAGAGAGAGCAUGUACACCAAAUGGGGAGUUUCGCUGUCCUCCAAGAGGAGAAGGCUUCAGGUGGCACGUCGCCUUUGGACCGAAACCAAAAACCUCGAGCAUGUCAGGGAGAGCGCUUCCCUUGUCGCCCGAUUGAUCGGCCUCCUAGAGCCAGGAAAGGCACUGAGGGAGAUGUUUGGGCUAAGCUUUGCGCCACAGCAGUUCAGCCGACGAUCCCACAAUAGCUGGAGAUAUGGCCGUUCUUCUCUGGACUGA
Molecule: ribosomal RNA, 2799 nt
Filed under: Triticum aestivum (bread wheat)
Lineage: Eukaryota; Viridiplantae; Streptophyta; Magnoliopsida; Poales; Poaceae
Description: partial small subunit ribosomal RNA
Source: RNAcentral